GUAAAAUUUGAACACUUCAGAAACGUUGGGAUAAUUUUGUUAACCUGGGUAUAGAUCCCUCAGAGAGAAUCGAAAUGACCUUACUAAAUCAACAAGUAACGCGGUAGAUAUUUGGAAUAAACAUAUUUACUAGGGUAAGGAAGGUUGCAUACCAUAUGCUAAUUCAAAGAUUAAUUGAUUUAAAUAUUGGAAUUCAAAUUUGCGCAUGUCCCGACUAACAGAACGGUAAAGAGAUCGAGAACGAAGGAGUCGAGAAGAUUAGCUGGUACAAAAUUUUUCGUUGGUUUAUCAAAAGAAGCGAAAUCACAUUCCUGUACCUGUUGAUAUCUAAAGGAAUUUUGGAGGCUGUUCUGGGAAGAAGAUCUGUCAGGCCUCCAUACCUUAUCAUAUUACAUAGAAAUUGGUAACACGGAGAUUACUAUUAAUCACAAUAAUUCAUUGGUGCAGUUGGAUAGGAAAUGAUGAAUGAAUAAUUUUCACCUUGGACUUCAAUCAGUUGGAUCCUAAGGUCAGACCGAAUCUAUUUUUUAUUUCAUAUGGAAAUUGUGCAAGGACGUAGGAGAAAUUUCCCCGUGUACCGUUAGAAUUCCAGCAUAUAUCCCUUCCUGGAUUAUUUAACCUUCCCUCCCUGAUUUUGCAAAAGGCGAGCUCUGGAUUAGAAAAGAUAAUCCUAACAAAUAUUUAGUUCCCACAUAUACGUACUAUUAUUGUGACCCUUGGGGUCGUUCGAAAGAAAUAAAGUGUUAAAUUUUGAAGUGUAAGCCAAGGGUAACGUUACUCCGGGUACCGAUAUUUUUUUAUAUAUCAAUUAUUAAUAUACAAUAUAAUAUU
This 831-nucleotide long non-coding RNA is filed under the name Leptinotarsa decemlineata (Colorado potato beetle). Its description in RNAcentral is "uncharacterized LOC111505262". The record is from RNAcentral. Lineage: Eukaryota; Metazoa; Arthropoda; Insecta; Coleoptera; Chrysomelidae.